Molecule: ribosomal RNA, 404 nt
Filed under: uncultured bacterium
Lineage: Bacteria
Description: bacterial SSU rRNA
Rfam family: Bacterial small subunit ribosomal RNA
Source: RNAcentral
GGGGAAUAUUGCACAAUGGGGGAAACCCUGAUGCAGCAACGCCGCGUGAAGGAUGAAGGUUUUCGGAUUGUAAACUUCUUUAGUCAGGGACGAAAAAAAUGACGGUACCUGAAGAAUAAGCCACGGCUAACUACGUGCCAGCAGCCGCGGUAAUACGUAGGUGGCGAGCGUUGUCCGGAAUUACUGGGUGUAAAGGGCGUGUAGGCGGGAAUGUAAGUCAGAUGUGAAAUCCCAGGGCUUAACCCUGGAGCUGCAUCUGAAACUAUGUUUCUUGAGUGCCGGAGAGGAAAGCGGAAUUCCUAGUGUAGCGGUGAAAUGCGUAGAUAUUAGGAGGAACACCAGUGGCGAAGGCGGCUUUCUGGACGGUAACUGACGCUGAGGCGCGAAAGCGUGGGGAGCAAACA